Molecule: long non-coding RNA, 962 nt
Organism: Sceloporus undulatus (fence lizard)
Lineage: Eukaryota; Metazoa; Chordata; Lepidosauria; Squamata; Phrynosomatidae
Exons: 4
Source: RefSeq, a predicted model, not a curated record
UCUUCUGUUUUAUUCUGCAAUCUGUCUGGAAAAGGGGAAUGAAAUUACAGUGCCAUCCAGCACAUAACCCAAAUAGUGUAUUUCACAGCUCCUGGUUAUGACAAAGUGGUCGAUGCAGAAGUACAAGCCUGUCCAUAUUAACUACUGUUCUUGUCUUCAAGAGAGCAGAUGACUCUUCUUCAAGCUGUGUCCUCAAAUUUGAGAAUAAUAUUUCUGGUCUAACAUACAGGAAUAUUGUCAAGACUGCUGAAACAAAAUGAAGAUCCAUUGAUCCAGGGGUGAACCAUAAGUCACUGCUCAUCUCCAAGGAACAUUUUUCAACUGGAAGGAGAAAUUGUUCUUCGUCAUUGCUUUCAAUGAGAAACUGAAUUACAUCUCUGAUGGCUCGAACAUCUCUGCUUUCCAUCCAGUUGGCUUAGUUUCAUAAAUUUUACUACACCUUUAAUGAAUUGAGACAAAUGAAGGAAAAAUGCCUUCAUUUAAUCAACAGUUUGUUGUUGUGUACCUUGAAUUUGUUUCUGACUUAUGGCAACCCUAAGGCUUCUCCUAUCAGAAGCCUUUCUGGGACUGAGAGCGUGUGAGUCAUCCAAACUUACCUGGUGUUAGAAUGACAGAAUCACAGAGCUGAGAGAAGCCACAGAGGCCAUCAAGUCCAACCCUCUGCCAUGCAAGAAUACACAAUGAAAACACUUCUGAGAGAUGGCCAUUCAACCUCUGUUCAAAGAUCUCCAAAGAUGGAGAGUCCACCAUUUUCUGAGGCAGUGCAUUCCACAGUGAAAUAGCUCUUUUCUUCCUAAUUUGUAAAUUUGUAAACUUAAAUUAUUGCAGUACUAGGACACUGUUUGCAAAAUUUCAAAGGAUAAAUGAAUUCUGCAGUGGGAAUUGUUUCUGGUAGUAACCUGUAAGUGGAAAUGGGGUUAAAACCUAAAAUGCUGAGCAAAAAACAACAAAACAAAACAAAA